CCCUUAGAUGUUCUGGGCCGCACGCGCGCUACACUGAUGCAUUCAACAAGCCUAGCCUUGACCGAGAGGUCCGGGUAAUCUUUGAAACUGCAUCGUGAUGGGGCUAGAUUAUUGCAAUUAUUAAUCUUCAACGAGGAAUGCCUAGUAAGCGUGAUUCAUCAAAUCGCGUUGAUUACGUCCCUGCCAUUUGUACACACCGCCCGUCGCUCCUACCGAUUGAAUGUGUUGGUGAGGAGCUCGGAUUGGCAGCAGUUGGUGGUUCGCCACCGGCUAUUGCUGAGAAGUCCUCCAAACCGCCCCAUUUAGAGGAAGGAGAAGUCGUAACA
Molecule: ribosomal RNA, 326 nt
Filed under: uncultured eukaryote
Lineage: Eukaryota
Description: partial 18S ribosomal RNA
Rfam family: Eukaryotic small subunit ribosomal RNA
Source: RNAcentral